UCUCUUAAUGCAAGGUAGGAUGUUUGAGGUGAAUAAGAGGAAAAGAGUUGAAGAUUUUGGAAGUCACUUAGAAAUGGCUCUUGAAAGCAGCUGGUAAGGCAGUGUAAAGAGUACUGUGCCUGGAGUUGGGAAAACUGGAGUUCACAAGUGACCUUGGACACUUAUGAGCUAUGUAAUCUUCUGUCUGCUGCAGUUUCCUCAACUGCAAAAAUGGAGCUACUAGCAUUUUCCUUGCAAGUUAUUGUGAGGAUCAAAUAAGUUUCUGCAUCUGUGAAUUGGGUGAAGAUGGAUGAUUAAAAGAGAUGAUCUCCUUGAAAUUCUUUUAAGUCUAUGAAUCUACUAUCCCUGUAAAAGUCCAUGACAUUCUUAUUCUGGUACCAUCACUUAAUACCUAAAGUUGUGUUAUAUAUCAAAUGUGCAUUUGAAGUAUCCUUCUCUAUUGAAAGCAAAAUGGAGAAUAUUAUGUUAAAUCUAUACCUGGAGUUCCA
Long non-coding RNA from Antechinus flavipes (yellow-footed antechinus), 488 nucleotides. RefSeq lists it as uncharacterized. The record is from RefSeq and is a predicted model, not a curated record. Lineage: Eukaryota; Metazoa; Chordata; Mammalia; Dasyuromorphia; Dasyuridae. The transcript is spliced from 2 exons.